CUAAUGAGACUGCCGGUGACAAACCGGAGGAAGGUGGGGAUGACGUCAAGUCCUCAUGGCCCUUAUAGGUGGGGCUACACACGUCAUACAAUGGCUGGUACAAAGGGUUGCCAACCCGCGAGGGGGAGCCAAUCCCAUAAAGCCAGUCGUAGUCCGGAUCGCAGUCUGCAACUCGACUGCGUGAAGUCGGAAUCGCUAGUAAUCGUGGAUCAGCAUGUCACGGUGAAUACGUUCCCGGGUCUU
This 243-nucleotide ribosomal RNA is filed under the name uncultured Variovorax sp. Its description in RNAcentral is "partial 16S ribosomal RNA". It matches the Rfam family "Bacterial small subunit ribosomal RNA", at positions 1140 to 1382 of the family's 1533-position model. The record is from RNAcentral. Lineage: Bacteria; Pseudomonadati; Pseudomonadota; Betaproteobacteria; Burkholderiales; Comamonadaceae.